UUCUGGCUCAGGAUGAACGCUAGCUACAGGCUUAACACAUGCAAGUCGAGGGGUAGCAGGGUAGCAAUACCGCUGACGACCGGCGCACGGGUGAGUAACACGUAUCCAACCUUCCCAUAACUCAGGGAUAGCCUUUCGAAAGAAAGAUUAAUACCUGAUAGUACUUUUUCAAGGCAUCUUGAGAAAGUUAAAGAUUUAUUGGUUAUGGAUGGGGAUGCGUUCCAUUAGAUAGUUGGUGAGGUAACGGCUCACCAAGCCUUCGAUGGAUAGGGGUUCAGAGAGGAAGGUCCCCCACAUUGGUACUGAGACACGGACCAAACUCCUACGGGAGGCAGCAGUGAGGAAUAUUGGUCAAUGGGCGAGAGCCUGAACCAGCCAAGUAGCGUGAAGGAUGAAGGUCCUAUGGAUUGUAAACUUCUUUUAUAGUAGAAUAAAGUGAUCCACGUGUGGAUUUUUGUAUGUAUACUAUGAAUAAGGAUCGGCUAACUCCGUGCCAGCAGCGGC
Molecule: ribosomal RNA, 504 nt
Filed under: uncultured bacterium
Lineage: Bacteria
Description: bacterial SSU rRNA
Rfam family: Bacterial small subunit ribosomal RNA
Source: RNAcentral